RNAcentral lists this microRNA (24 nucleotides) under Rosa chinensis. Its description in RNAcentral is "sRNA RchiOBHm_Chr4g0398225". Lineage: Eukaryota; Viridiplantae; Streptophyta; Magnoliopsida; Rosales; Rosaceae. The record is from RNAcentral.
CCCGAAAUAAUUAAAACUCUGUUC